This 847-nucleotide long non-coding RNA is filed under the name Sitophilus oryzae (rice weevil). RNAcentral describes it as "uncharacterized LOC115874440". The record is from RNAcentral. Lineage: Eukaryota; Metazoa; Arthropoda; Insecta; Coleoptera; Curculionidae.
GUAAACGUGCUUCAUCCAAACUAUUUUAAUAAUUAAAACACUGAGAUAACGUAAAGAUAAGUGAUGCAAAUAAUUAUUUUAAGGAUAGAAUCGGUAAAAUAGUUCUUGUUAUGUUUGUGUUUUCAGUAUCUAUUUUAAGAAUUAUUAGGUUCGAGAAUUAUCUAUACUUGGUGGUUCAGGAGUAGCACAAAGUACAAGGAAAAUGCUUUAUAAGGUUCUGGGCAAUGAAAUUGCACAAAAAUAUUCUUGGGAUGGGGCCAAACAGAAGAGAAGUUUGAAAUCAUUGUUAGUGGCCAAAAGCAAUUUUAGACUCCAUGAAAGGUCAAUUUCAAGAGUCAAAAGAAACCGAAAUUAUCAAUAUAAUUAAAAUAUGGCUUGUAAAAACAAAAGAAAGAUUAAAAAUACCAAGAAGGGUAGACAAGAGAAUAUAGAAACAUAGACAUAGAAGAUAAUAUCAAUGUAUAUCGUUAUAUUAAAAUAUUUUUAAUUAAUAAACAUAUAUUACUCAAGUUCGUCUUUAUCCUUACCUAUUAUUUUUAACCGUUCUAUUUAUUAGUUAAUUUUUGAUUAUUACACACCAAAUUAUUUAAUUUCAGCAAAUUGUUUGUAGUGUGUUCCAGAUAUGAAUGUACUGUAUAGGUAUCCUAUAGAUUUUAAGAGAUAAAAAAAUUGCUAAAUAUGAAAAAAAUUGUAUCUAUAUCUAUAGUUUAUAGGAUAUUGAUACAGGGCAUCCUUAUACAGGACACCCAGUAGAUACAGAGUUGAGGGUUGGAAUCUUUGGUGUUACAACAGCAAAUUAAAACACUAAUUCACCACAAUAUACCAAAACACUUUACUUUUGAACUGG